RNAcentral lists this small nuclear RNA (292 nucleotides) under Jaculus jaculus (lesser Egyptian jerboa). RNAcentral's name for it is "7SK RNA (ENSJJAG00000007356.1)". It matches the Rfam family "7SK RNA". From Rfam's summary of the family: 7SK was discovered as an abundant small nuclear RNA in the mid-70s but a possible function has only recently been suggested. Two independent studies have found that 7SK RNA binds the CDK9/cyclin T complex (known as elongation factor P-TEFb). The record is from Rfam by way of RNAcentral. Lineage: Eukaryota; Metazoa; Chordata; Mammalia; Rodentia; Dipodidae.
AGAUGUGACGGUAAUUUGGCUGUGACGUCUGUCCCCCCCAUUGAUUGCCAGGGUUGAUUCGGCUGUUCUGGCUGGCUAGGUGGGGGUCCCUUCCUCCCUUACUGCUCCAUGUGUAUCUCUCCCGAAGGUGCAUGCUUGUCCAAGGGGAUGAUCUUCCCCAAAUAGAGGAGGAUGGGUUUUCAGUCAAGGAUAUAUGUGUGGCUGCACUCCCCUGCCAGAACCUCCAAACAAGCUCUCAAAGGUUUGGGGUAGAAUGAUCAUAAUAUUACAAAUUAAAGCAGUAAAUUUCCUU